RNAcentral lists this ribosomal RNA (460 nucleotides) under uncultured bacterium. Its description in RNAcentral is "partial 16S ribosomal RNA". It matches the Rfam family "Bacterial small subunit ribosomal RNA", at positions 338 to 795 of the family's 1533-position model. The record is from RNAcentral.
CCUACGAGCGACAGCAGUGAGGAAUAUUGGUCAAUGGGCGCGAGCCUGAACCAGCCAAGUAGCGUGAAGGCUGACUGCCCUACGGGUUGUAAACUUCUUUUAUAAAGGAAUAAAGUGAGGCACGUGUGCCUUUUUGUAUGUCCUUUAUUAAUAAGGAUCGGCUAAAUCCGUGCCAGCGGCCGCGUUAAUACGGCGGAUCCGAGCGUUAUCCGGAUUUAUUGGGUUUAAAGGGAGCGUAGAGAGGUUGUUAAGUCAGUGGUGAAAGUUUGCGGCUCAAACGUAAAAUUGCAAUUGAUACUGGCAGUCUUGAGUACAGUGGAGGUAGGCAGAAUUCGUGGUGUAGCGGUGAAAUGCUGAGAGAUCACGAAGAACUCCGAUUGCGAAGGCAGCUUACUAAACUGCCACUGACAUUGAUGCUCGAAAGUGUGGGUAUCAAACAGGAUUAGAUACCCGGGUAGUC